Molecule: non-coding RNA, 125 nt
Organism: Rattus norvegicus (Norway rat)
Lineage: Eukaryota; Metazoa; Chordata; Mammalia; Rodentia; Muridae
Source: Rfam
UGUGCAUUUAGGAAAACAAAACCAUUCUGUGUCAUAUAUGAGUCAGUAGGUGGCAGAAAGGAGAGGGGCUAUGUCCCCUCAAUGUUCUGACCUAUGAACACCAGAAUGAUUAGUAGCCUAAUAGU